GCGCAGUUGGUGUAAACGGUAGCAUACCGCAUGAUUGUUCAGCGGACGACCCAGGUUCGAGUCCUGGACUGCGCA
The sequence is a transfer RNA, 75 nucleotides long. It matches the Rfam family "tRNA". From Rfam's summary of the family: Transfer RNA (tRNA) molecules are approximately 80 nucleotides in length. Their secondary structure includes four short double-helical elements and three loops (D, anti-codon, and T loops). Further hydrogen bonds mediate the characteristic L-shaped molecular structure. tRNAs have two regions of fundamental functional importance: the anti-codon, which is responsible for specific mRNA codon recognition, and the 3' end, to which the tRNAs corresponding amino acid is attached (by aminoacyl-tRNA synthetases). tRNAs cope with the degeneracy of the genetic code in two manners: having more than one tRNA (with a specific anti-codon) for a particular amino acid; and 'wobble' base-pairing, i.e. permitting non-standard base-pairing at the 3rd anti-codon position.